GGGGCUAUAAUGCAAGUCGAACGAACUUCCGUUAAUUGAUUAUGACGUACUUGUACUGAUUGAGAUUUUAACACGAAGUGAGUGGCGAACGGGUGAGUAACACGUGGGUAACCUGCCCAGAAGUAGGGGAUAACACCUGGAAACAGAUGCUAAUACCGUAUAACAGAGAAAACCGCAUGGUUUUCUUUUAAAAGAUGGCUCUGCUAUCACUUUUGGAUGGACCCGCGGCGUAUUAGCUAGUUGGUGAGGUAAAGGCUCACCAAGGCAGUGAUACGUAGCCGACCUGAGAGGGUAAUCGGCCACAUUGGGACUGAGACACGGCCCAGACUCCUACGGGAGGCAGCAGUAGGGAAUCUUCCACAAUGGACGCAAGUCUGAUGGAGCAACGCCGCGUGAGUGAAGAAGGGUUUCGGCUCGUAAAGCUCUGUUGUUAAAGAAGAACGUGGGUAAGAGUAACUGUUUACCCAGUGACGGUAUUUAACCAGAAAGCCACGGCUAACUACGUGCCAGCAGCCGCGGUAAUACGUAGGUGGCAAGCGUUAUCCGGAUUUAUUGGGCGUAAAGCGAGCGCAGGCGGUCUUUUAAGUCUAAUGUGAAAGCCUUCGGCUCAACCGAAGAAGUGCAUUGGAAACUGGGAGACUUGAGUGCAGAAGAGGACAGUGGAACUCCAUGUGUAGCGGUGAAAUGCGUAGAUAUAUGGAAGAACACCAGUGGCGAAGGCGGCUGUCUGGUCUGCAACUGACGCUGAGGCUCGAAAGCAUGGGUAGCGAACAGGAUUAGAUACCCUGGUAGUCCAUGCCGUAAACGAUGAUUACUAAGUGUUGGAGGGUUUCCGCCCUUCAGUGCUGCAGCUAACGCAUUAAGUAAUCCGCCUGGGGAGUACGACCGCAAGGUUGAAACUCAAAAGAAUUGACAGGGGCCCGCACAAGCGGUGGAGCAUGUGGUUUAAUUCGAAGCUACGCGAAGAACCUUACCAGGUCUUGACAUCUUUCUGACAGUCUAAGAGAUUAGA
Molecule: ribosomal RNA, 1012 nt
Filed under: Pediococcus pentosaceus
Lineage: Bacteria; Bacillati; Bacillota; Bacilli; Lactobacillales; Lactobacillaceae
Description: bacterial SSU rRNA
Rfam family: Bacterial small subunit ribosomal RNA
Source: RNAcentral